RNAcentral lists this ribosomal RNA (402 nucleotides) under uncultured Anaerococcus sp. Its description in RNAcentral is "bacterial SSU rRNA". It matches the Rfam family "Bacterial small subunit ribosomal RNA", at positions 355 to 776 of the family's 1533-position model. Lineage: Bacteria; Bacillati; Bacillota; Tissierellia; Tissierellales; Peptoniphilaceae. The record is from RNAcentral.
UGGGGAAUUUUGCACAAUGGGGGAAACCCUGAUGCAGCGACGCCGCGUGAUUUAGAAGGCCUUCGGGUUGUAAAAAUCUUUUGUAUAGGAAGAGUUUGACAGUACUAUACGAAUAAGGUCCGGCUAAAUACGUGCCAGCAGCCGCGGUAAUACGUAUGGACCAAGCGUUGUCCGGAAUCAUUGGGCGUAAAGGGUACGUAGGCGGUUAAAUAAGUUAGAAGUGAAAUCCCAUAGCUCAACUAUAGUAAGCUUCUAAAACUGUAUAACUUGAGAAAUGAAAGGGAAAGUGGAAUUCCUAGUGUAGCGGUGAAAUGCGCAGAUAUUAGGAGGAAUACCGGUGGCGAAGGCGACUUUCUGGUCAUAUUCUGACGCUGAGGUACGAAAGCGUGGGUAGCAAACAGG